GAUGAAGAACGUAGCGAAAUGCGAUAAGUAAUGUGAAUUGCAGAAUUCAGUGAAUCAUCGAAUCUUUGAACGCACAUUGCGCCCGCCAGUAUUCUGGCGGGCAUGCCUGUCCGAGCGUCAUUUCAACCCUCGAAUCCCUCCGGGGGGUCGGCGUUGGGGAUCGGCCCUCCCUUAGCGGGUGGCCGUCUCCGAAAUACAGUGGCGGUCUCGCCGCAGCCUCUCCUGCGCAGUAGUUUGCACACUCGCAUCGGGAGCGCGGCGCGUCCACAGCCGUUAAACACCCAACUUCUGAAAUGUUGACCUCGGAUCAGGUAGGAAUACCCGCUGAACUUAAGCAUAUCAAUAAGCGGAGGA
RNAcentral lists this unclassified non-coding RNA (354 nucleotides) under soil metagenome. Its description in RNAcentral is "partial contains 5.8S ribosomal RNA, internal transcribed spacer 2, and large subunit ribosomal RNA". The stretch from base 1 to 120 matches the Rfam family "5.8S ribosomal RNA", at positions 35 to 154 of the family's 154-position model. The record is from RNAcentral.